CCGCUGCCCACCCGAGCCUAUCUGGGCUGCGUCUUGCCGCCGCUGCUCUUCGUGGCCCAACGCCUCAAUCCUUGCCUGUCCUUGCAGUCCCACCCCACACUCAGCCUUGUGUCCCUCGAUCCGGUCUCCGACUUCCAUUUCCCACCCUAAACCGCCUACUCAGUGUCUGUUCCCCGCCCCGUUGUCCUCGCCCUGCUGCGCUGAGGGUGCCCUGUUAGCCUCGACCCCAUGGCGCUGCAGACGCUGCAGAGCUCGUGGGUGACCUUCCGCAAGAUCCUGUCUCAUUUCCCCGAGGAGCUGAGUCUGGCUUUCGUCUACGGCUCCGGGGUGUACCGCCAGGCAGGGCCCAGUUCAGACCAGAAGAAUGCUAUGCUGGACUUUGUGUUCACAGUAGAUGACCCUGUCGCAUGGCAUUCAAAGAACCUGAAGAAAAAUUGGAGCCACUACUCUUUCCUAAAAGUUUUAGGGCCCAAGAUUAUCACAUCCAUCCAGAAUAACUAUGGCGCUGGAGUUUACUACAAUUCAUUGAUCAUGUGUAAUGGUAGGGUAAGUGACUGCUGGCCUUUGUCUUAACUUGGCUGGUUAUUAACCUGGGUUAUUAGAGUGCCAGCUAAAUAUGUAUGUUCUUGUAGUCAGGAAACAUUCACACUCCUGCUGGACAUUGUUAUAGUCAGGAAAUAUGUAUGUUUUUAUAGUAUGUAUGUUCUUAUAGUCAGGAAACAUUCACACUCCUGCCAGAUGUCUUGACUUUGGGGACAGAGCAGGGACUGGAGUCCUUCCUCAUCUCCCAUUAACUGUCAUGGCAGUGUGAGGGGGUGGUUGGGUGUGACUGACUUUUUUUAUUUUUUAUUUUUUUUGAGACGGAGUUUUGCUCUUGUUGCCCAGGCUGGAGUGCAGUGGUGUGAUCUCGGCUCACUGCAACCUCCGCCUUGCAGGUUCGAGUGAUUCUCCCGCCUCAGCCUCCCAGUUAGCUGGGAUUACAGGCGUGUGCCACCUUUUAGUAGAGACAGGGUUUCACCAUGUUGGCCAGGCUGG
Molecule: small RNA, 1035 nt
Filed under: Pongo abelii (Sumatran orangutan)
Lineage: Eukaryota; Metazoa; Chordata; Mammalia; Primates; Hominidae
Description: retained intron
Source: RNAcentral